RNAcentral lists this transfer RNA (75 nucleotides) under Haloferax larsenii. RNAcentral's name for it is "tRNA_Asn_GTT". It matches the Rfam family "tRNA". Rfam says of the family: Transfer RNA (tRNA) molecules are approximately 80 nucleotides in length. Their secondary structure includes four short double-helical elements and three loops (D, anti-codon, and T loops). The record is from RNAcentral. Lineage: Archaea; Methanobacteriati; Methanobacteriota; Halobacteria; Halobacteriales; Haloferacaceae.
GCCGCCGUAGCUCAGUUGGUAGAGCACCUCGCUGUUAGCACGAGGUGGUCCCAGGUUCGAGUCCUGGCGGCGGCG